GAGAACCGUCCUUAAGGAACUAGGCAAUUUUCCCCCGUACGUUCGCAAUAAGGGGUCCCUCCGCGUGUGCUUGAUUUAUCAGGUAUAUGGCGAGGGCGCUGAGAAAUGGCUCUGGCGACUGUUUAUCAAAAACACAGUUCUGUGCUAACUCCCAAAGAGGAUGUAUACAGAAUGACGCCUGCUCGGUGCCGGAAGGUUAAGGGGAGGGGUUAGCCGCAAGGCGAUGCUCUAAACUGAAGCCCCGGUAAACGGCGGCCGUAACUAUGACGGUCCUAAGGUAGCGAAGUUCCUUGUCGGGUAAGUUCCGACGUGCAUGAACGGCGUAACGACUGGAGCAGUGUCUCAAGGACGGACUCGGUGAAAUUGUAGAUGUGGUGAAGAUACCACAAUCCCGCAGCAACACGGUAAGACCCCAUGAACCUUUACUGUAGCCUGGUAUUGAUGCCUGGCAUGGCAUGCGUAGGAUAGGUGGGAGGCUGUGAAGUUCCGGUUCCGGCCGGGACAGAGCCAACGUUGAAAUACCACCCUUGUUAUGUUAGUCACCUAACCAUGACCCGUGAAUCCGGGCGUAGGACAGUGCUAGGUGGGCAGUUUGACUGGGGCGGUCUCCUCCCAAAGGGUAACGGAGGAGUUCAAAGGCACACUCAGCGUGGUUGGCAAUCACGUUUAGAGCGCAAGGGUACAAGUGUGCUUAACUGCGAGUCUGAAUGCGACGAGCAGAUGCGAAAGCAGGACCUAGUGAUCCGGCGGUUCCGUAUGGAAGGGCCGUCGCUCAACAGAUAAAAGGUACUCUGGGGAUAACAGGCUGAUGACUCCCGAGCGUUCAUAGCGGCGGAGUCGUUUGGCACAUCGAUGUCGGCUCAUCACAUCCUGGGGCUGAAGGCGGUCCCAAGGGUCGGGCUGUUCGCCCGUUAAAGUGGUACGCGAGCUGGGUUCAGACCGGCGUGAGCCAGGUCGGUCCCUAUGUGCUGUGGGCGCAGGAAUCUUGAGGGGCCAUUUCCUUAGUACGAGAGGAUUAGGAAGUACUGACCUCUGGUGCACCGAUUGUUCCGCUAGGGGCAUAGUCGGGUAGCUACGUCGGGAAAGGAUAACCGCUGAAAGCAUCUAAGUGGGAAGCCCACCCCAAGAUUAGGAUUCCGUGGUCUUCGGACCUGAAGUGCCCUGGUAGACCACCAGGUUGAUAGGCCGGAGGUGCAAGUGCAGAAGUGCAUUCAGCUGACCGGUACUAACGCACGACGACUUGACCAU
RNAcentral lists this ribosomal RNA (1248 nucleotides) under metagenome. RNAcentral's name for it is "bacterial LSU rRNA". It matches the Rfam family "Bacterial large subunit ribosomal RNA", at positions 1694 to 2925 of the family's 2925-position model. The record is from RNAcentral.